This 650-nucleotide ribosomal RNA is filed under the name Micrococcus luteus. RNAcentral's name for it is "bacterial SSU rRNA". It matches the Rfam family "Bacterial small subunit ribosomal RNA", at positions 65 to 728 of the family's 1533-position model. Lineage: Bacteria; Bacillati; Actinomycetota; Actinomycetes; Micrococcales; Micrococcaceae. The record is from RNAcentral.
AACGAUGAAGCCCAGCUUGCUGGGUGGAUUAGUGGCGAACGGGUGAGUAACACGUGAGUAACCUGCCCUUAACUCUGGGAUAAGCCUGGGAANCUGGGUCUAAUACCGGAUAGGAGCGUCCACCGCAUGGUGGGUGUUGGAAAGAUUUAUCGGUUUUGGAUGGACUCGCGGCCUAUCAGCUUGUUGGUGAGGUAAUGGCUCACCAAGGCGACGACGGGUAGCCGGCCUGAGAGGGUGACCGGCCACACUGGGACUGAGACACGGCCCAGACUCCUACGGGAGGCAGCAGUGGGGAAUAUUGCACAAUGGGCGCAAGCCUGAUGCAGCGACGCCGCGUGAGGGAUGACGGCCUUCGGGUUGUAAACCUCUUUCAGUAGGGAAGAAGCGAAAGUGACGGUACCUGCAGAAGAAGCACCGGCUAACUACGUGCCAGCAGCCGCGGUAAUACGUAGGGUGCGAGCGUUAUCCGGAAUUAUUGGGCGUAAAGAGCUCGUAGGCGGUUUGUCGCGUCUGUCGUGAAAGUCCGGGGCUUAACCCCGGAUCUGCGGUGGGUACGGGCAGACUAGAGUGCAGUAGGGGAGACUGGAAUUCCUGGUGUAGCGGUGGAAUGCGCANAUAUCAGGAGGAACACCGAUGGCGAAGGCAGGUCU